Capsicum annuum is the source of this 1987-nucleotide long non-coding RNA. RefSeq lists it as uncharacterized. The transcript is spliced from 3 exons. Lineage: Eukaryota; Viridiplantae; Streptophyta; Magnoliopsida; Solanales; Solanaceae. The record is from RefSeq and is a predicted model, not a curated record.
UAAGACAUUUAUUAAAUCUAAAAAAAUUAUUUUGGGAAGAUUAGAGAGAAGGAAAAGGAAUAAUUGAACAAUCAUUUUUACCAGAUUUGUUUUGAAUAAAAUGGGGCAUUUACCAAUUGUUCUAAAGCAUUCCGGCGUAUGGAACUAUUAUAAUGUGUAUGAACAGUACGAGAUGGACUCAAUUGCAAUUGAAGAAUGAACAGUACGAGAUGGACUCAAUUGCAAUUGAAGAAACAGAAAAAUAUGAUGGUUUAAUUCAAUUGAUUGGUCAGCAACUUUGUAUUAAGUUGAAUUCAAAAACAUUGAAAGUUGAAUAUAAAGUUGACUUUAGCAGUAGAAGAAUGGAAAUACAUAAUGACAUGGGGUUGACCGUUUAUGUAAUGGUGCGGAAAAAAGAAAAAGGAUUCAGAAACUAUCCUUUAUGUGUUUCUCUAUUUGAUAAAUCCAUGAAAAAGGAGAGUGAUUGCUUGAAUGUUGAAUGCGCUAUUUCUGUUAUUGAUGUGGAAGAAGGAAAUUCUGGAGAUCAUGGUGCUUUAGUUGAAGUUGUUGAUAAAUGGACAUGAUCACACAAUUAUUUCUGGUCCAAAUCACAAUGAAGUGCUCGUCGGUCAAGUUUAUAAGAGAAAAGCAACUUUAAUAUCAGUGAUGACGCUUUAUGCAAUCAGAAAUAGAUUUCAAUUCAAUACUAUACAAUCAAAUGGUAGUCGGGUAUAAUUUGGUGUGUAAAUCUAAGGAAUGUGAUUGGUUGCUAAUGACAUCUAAUAAUAAAAAGUCUAAUUUGUAUAAGAUUCGUCGAUUUCGUUAGGAGCAUACGUGUCCCUUAAAGGAUCGGGUGUAUGAGCAGAAACAUGUUAGUAGUUCAUUGAUUGGAGGAAUUGUUAAGUAAAAGUUAUCCAACCAUAAAAGAGUAUAUACGGCUAAACACAUACAUGAGGAUAUUAAGAAUGAGCUUGGAUUGGAUCUGACUUAUACAAUGGCCUGGAGGGCUAGGGAGAAGGCUUUGAUUUCAUUGAGGGGUACAAUGUAUGCUUCAUACAAUAGAUUGUAGGGAUAUUUAUACAUGUUGAAAAAAACAUACCCUAGUUCGCACAUACGGAUGAAAAAAAUAGAAGACAAUGAAUUCCUAUAUGUUUUUAUAUCGCUGUAUUCUUCAAUUGAAGGAUUUGAUUCAUGUAGACCAAUUAUUGUUGUUGAUGGAAGUUACCUUAGGGGAAUAUAUAAUGGAACUUUUGUGUCAGCUAGUACACUUGAUGGAGCAGGUUAGUCCAUUAAUUUUUAUUUAUGCAUUAAUUGCACUUUAAAUAUUGUUAAGGUGCUAGUAAAUACAAUUUUGAAAUACAUUAUCUGAAAAUCACACUGUAGAAUUGUUUAUGUAUAUCUUGAUUAUGCAGGACAUAUAUUUCCACUUGCUUAUGGAAUAUUGGAUUCUGAGAAUUAUGUUACUUUGAGUUGGUUCUUUGAGUAAUUAAAAGAAGCUCAUGGUGUAAAAUCAAAUAUGUGUGUUUUGUCUGACAUAAACAAGAGUAUUAUAAAGGCUGUGUCAACGGUGUAUGAUGGUGUUGUACAAUAUGCUUGCAUCUGGAAUCUAUGAAAAAAUGUCGUAACCACUUUCAGAAAGUCGCAUGCAAAAUUAACUGAUGUGUUUUACGAAAUGGCUAAAGAAUAUACAAUUUCUGAAUUUAAUAAUCUAAUGAAGAAGGUUGAACUAAUAGAUGAUAGGGUGAAAGAGUACUUGCAGAAGGCUGGUUAUGAAAAGUAGACUAGGGUGUAUGCUACUGUAAAUCGUGGUUUUACACUCACAUCAAACAUUACAGAAACCAUGAACAGACAUCUAAAGGAAGCGAGGGAAUUGCCUAUAUAUGAUUUCUUAGAGGAAGUUAGAAAGAUGUUUGGUAGAUGGAAUCACAAUAAUAGACAAGUUGGGACAUUCACACACACCCCUAUUUGCGGUAGAUACAAUGAUCUUCUUGAGUUAAAUGAGGUCAAA